UUGCCUUGGGAAGAAUGUCAAAAAUGACUCCACCAAUUUAUUUACUUGCCUCUCCAGAGGGGACUCUCUGAACUAUGUUUCUAUUUUGAUGCAAUUUCCUUUUAUCUCUCUGAUUUCUAGUCUCAUUUCUAGUGAAAAUGUCAAUACUGGCAUGGCUUAGCUCCUUUAGUAACAUUUCUCUUCAUUGGUCAUUAGACAGGGGAGUCACUGUGUUUGGCAUAUAGAGUUGGCACUGAGCAAAUGUUGAUUAAAUACUAGUGUGACAAACCCAAUCCUAAUUAAGGUAACAGGUGUAUGGGUGUCAAAUGAGGACUAGUGCCUCUGGGGUGAGGGCUUGCAAAGCCCUUUUGGGGGCUGCUGGUACACUUUUGGUGUUCAUCUGGCACUCAACUCUCAGUUGUGACUCCAAAGGGUUGUAGCAUUUACUGUGGCAACACCCCAGUAAACCAUCCCCGCAGAUGGGCUAAACCAGGGUGAGAGUAACCUAUGUGCCACAAACCCAUAAGGGAGUUAUGGGCUAUGCAUCCCAAGCAUAUGACAAUUUCCCUUGGCAGACUGGGAAGAUGAGAACAAUUUGUUCCAAUGGCCAUGAAGGCAGUGGAAGCAGACCCUGUGGAAGACAUAGAGCUUGGCCAGACACUGAAGAUGCCAAGGUCCACUCACUGCAUUCCAGAACCUGGUUAGCCUUUCCCCAUCAACCAAACGAGAGGGAUGGAAAGAGAAAGGCUGAACUCAAUCAAAGGCUUUCCCACCACUGGAUUGUUCUUGGUCUUGAGUGGUAAUUGACUUGGCUGACCAGAUGUAGCCUGAAGAGGAAAACAAUUCCCAGAAGUUUGCUGGAGCAUUGUGUUCUGCUGGGAUCUAGAAACUUGAGAGCCAACAAGACGAUGACUCUAGCCACCCACAUAAACAAACAGGAACAGAAGAAUAAGGGGGAGCCAGUCUCAAGACAGUGAACCUCACUAAGAAUAAGAGGUAGUGAAAAACCUUCCUGCCUCACACUAUGAGCACCAACGUGAGAGCUCAUGACUUGGUGCCACUAGAGGAUUGUUGAGUGCCCCAGCUGUGUUCUUGGACAGUUUCUAUAGUAUUCAAUUUCUUAGAUUUGAUUAAAAUAUCCUAAAGCCAAUGAGAUCUAAAACAGAGAAUCAAACCCUUCUGGAAGAGUAAGCAUUUCUUCAAGAAGCCUUAGCCAAAUUUCUGGGAAUAGCUGGAAAGCCUAGAUGUUCCAUGAAUAUUUCUGUUUGCAGCACCAUAUAAAAAAUAAGCUUAACGUUUAUUUUUUAAAAAAGGAUGUCUUAUAUUUCACUGGUCCUGCCAAAGUUUUGUUUUUCUUUUUUCCCAGUGAGUAGAGAGGGAGGAUGGGAGGAAGAAAGGACAGGUUUUGAGGAAGAAGAAAAAAUACUUAAUUGAAGAAAAUGAAAUAUUAUUUUAAAAAUAUUUUACUGCUUCUAUCAUCACAACAGUAGCAAUGUUAAAAAUAACUGGAAGAGGUAGGUCUUGAUAAGUGAAAGACAAUGGAAUCCUAUUUCUCUCUCCCUAGCUUGAGCGUAGUCAUUUAGUGCCUAGUGUCCUCAAGGCUCCUGAAAGUCAAGCAAGUCAUUAGUAGCAUUGGGAAUGCAGUCUGGAUUUAAGGCAAAAGCAACUUUGCACACUUUUUUUUUUUCAAAAUCUUACUUUCUCUCUUAGUAACAAUUUUAGGAGAGAAGGGCAAAGCCUAGGAAAAUAGAGUUAAUUGACUUACCCAAGGUAAUACAGCCAGGAUGUAUCUGAGGUCAGCUU
This 1782-nucleotide long non-coding RNA is filed under the name Monodelphis domestica (gray short-tailed opossum). RNAcentral describes it as "lncRNA (ENSMODG00000038170.1)". The record is from RNAcentral. Lineage: Eukaryota; Metazoa; Chordata; Mammalia; Didelphimorphia; Didelphidae.